CUUAACGCGCGAUUAAAAAAAUUAACGGCGUUAAUUAAUUGUUGCGUUAACGUGUGAUUAACGCAUUAAUGUGCCCAGCACAACUGAAGUAAGACAUGAUUUCUUCUGAUUCUGGCUGCUAGCUCCCAGUUUUUGUCCCACCAUGAUGAGAUAGACAUCUUUGUAAUCAAGCUGUAAAAAUGUUUCU
Molecule: long non-coding RNA, 187 nt
Organism: Melanotaenia boesemani (Boeseman's rainbowfish)
Lineage: Eukaryota; Metazoa; Chordata; Actinopteri; Atheriniformes; Melanotaeniidae
Exons: 3
Source: RefSeq, a predicted model, not a curated record